RNAcentral lists this long non-coding RNA (249 nucleotides) under Phoenix dactylifera (date palm). Its description in RNAcentral is "long non-coding RNA (PDAC_LNC011660)". The record is from RNAcentral. Lineage: Eukaryota; Viridiplantae; Streptophyta; Magnoliopsida; Arecales; Arecaceae.
CCCAAGCCUAGGUGAAAUUGGGGGUUGUAGGGUUCGUUGUUAGCCCGGUGUAAAACAACGAGUUGGAUAGUGCACUCGCAAAACUACCGGACUAUAAUCUUGGAUUAUAGUGGAAAUUCCCAAAGAUGCUUUGGGAAGUGGAUGUAGGAGCAGUGGAAGCUCCGAACCACUAUAAAACCUUGUGUUUGCGAUUGUCUGUUUUCAUACCUCUAUUUUUACUUUAGCUCAUACAUUUGUGUGUUUUAUUUU